Molecule: ribosomal RNA, 269 nt
Filed under: uncultured prokaryote
Description: partial 16S ribosomal RNA
Rfam family: Bacterial small subunit ribosomal RNA
Source: RNAcentral
UACGUAGGGGGCAAGCGUUAUCCGGAUUUACUGGGUGUAAAGGGAGUGUAGGCGGCCUGGCAAGCCAGAUGUGAAAGCCCGCGGCUCAACUGCGGGACUGCAUUUGGAACUGUUAGGCUUGAGUGCAGGAGAGGAAAGUGGAAUUCCUAGUGUAGCGGUGAAAUGCUUAGAUAUUAGGAGGAACACCAGUGGCGAAGGCGGCUUUCUGGACUGUAACUGACGCUGAGGCUCGAAAGCGUGGGGAGCAAACAGGAUUAGAUACCCGGGUA